UCUAGAAGUAGCUGAUGGCAUUUGUGCUCACUCUGAUUCCUCUCUCCACACACACACACACACACAGUGUGAAUGCUUCACUCUCUUCUUUACAGUGCAAAUAUGCUCAUUUGAUGUUCCUCCAUGGGGGACAAACAAUCCUUAUGAGGUGGAGAGAUAGACCAGUGCUGGGAACAGUGAUUGCAAGGGACUGGUCUGUGAUGAGUGCACUGGGGCCCCUUGAGCAGGGGGCCCAGAAAAUAGGGUCACAGACCAGACUAUUUUGGUCACUGUUGGUCCUUCAAGAGUAUUCAUGGAGGCCUGGCUGUGGAAGGGACAGGGUUGUGUGCCCCCAUCCUGUACAGUCACCAACUUCAGCUCUUCAGUGGUGCUUUAUGCAGCAGGAAACUUCCUGGAGGUUGUUCUUGGUAGCAACUUUGAAAGAACACUUGAGCCUUCAGGCACUGCCCUGAGGAGAUCCCCUUUCCUUUUGGAGCUCGGUUCUCUUUGUUAUGGGUAAUC
Molecule: long non-coding RNA, 501 nt
Organism: Chiroxiphia lanceolata (lance-tailed manakin)
Lineage: Eukaryota; Metazoa; Chordata; Aves; Passeriformes; Pipridae
Exons: 3
Source: RefSeq, a predicted model, not a curated record